AGAAUCACUAGUAACUUAACAAUUUCAUUUGUGGCUUGCAUUCUUAAACUCUUUUCAUCCAUGCAGGUGUCUCUUGCAUCAGACUUUAUGUACAACUAUAUGUCUAGAGAUGUUACAGCAAACUUUGGUUACGUUUAUACCCUUCGGCAGUGCCUUCUCAGAGGGGAGAUUGAUUCAAAUGGAUGUGUUGCGUCUUUCUUGGAAGAGCGCUUGAACAUGGGUCUUAGUAUUAUUCUUUCAGCCUAGCGCUUGUUCAGGUCGAUCACUAAAAGAAAGACUACAAAUUUGACUUUGGACUCACAUUUGGAGAACAGAGGAGGCAACUUAAACAGAGAUUAGGUUUAAUAUAUUAGCUUAAAAAGAGAUUAUGUCUAUGUAUAAAUCAUGGAAGAGGUGAAAUGUUUGUUAAUUUCCUUUGGCUUGGUACCAAUAGAUGUAUGUUUGUUAGUUCGAAUACGACUUGAUAUUAAUAGAAAAUGACAGUCAUCUGGUGGUGGUGUACAAAAAAAUAUGGUGAUUUAUUGGAAUUUUGUUUAGUUU
RNA transcript from Capsicum annuum, 540 nucleotides. RefSeq lists it as uncharacterized. Lineage: Eukaryota; Viridiplantae; Streptophyta; Magnoliopsida; Solanales; Solanaceae. The record is from RefSeq and is a predicted model, not a curated record. The transcript has 3 exons.